This 253-nucleotide ribosomal RNA is filed under the name uncultured bacterium. RNAcentral's name for it is "partial 16S ribosomal RNA". It matches the Rfam family "Bacterial small subunit ribosomal RNA", at positions 524 to 776 of the family's 1533-position model. The record is from RNAcentral.
AACGUAGGAGACAAACGUUAUCCGGAGUUACUGGGCGUAAAGGGCGUGUAGGUGGUUUUGUAAGUCUGGCGUGAAAUAUCUCGGCUUAACCGAGGCAGGUCGUCGGAUACUGCAAGACUAGAGGACGGUAGAGGCGUGUGGAAUUCCGGGUGUAGUGGUGAAAUGCGUAGAGAUCCGGAGGAACACCAGUGACGAAGGCGACACGCUGGGCCGUACCUGACACUGAUGCGCGACAGCAUGGGGAGCAAACAGG